This is a non-coding RNA of Pangasius djambal, 72 nucleotides long. The record is from the annotation of a GenBank genome assembly. NCBI's taxonomy places the organism in Eukaryota, Metazoa, Chordata, Actinopteri, Siluriformes, Pangasiidae.
UCCCUGGUGGAUUAGUUGCUAGCAUGUGACGAUGUCCUCGCCAUGGCCUGGGUUCGAUUCCAGGUCAGGGAA